This 524-nucleotide ribosomal RNA is filed under the name uncultured bacterium. RNAcentral describes it as "partial 16S ribosomal RNA". It matches the Rfam family "Bacterial small subunit ribosomal RNA", at positions 28 to 523 of the family's 1533-position model. The record is from RNAcentral.
GACGAACGCUGGCGGCGUGCCUAAUACAUGCAAGUCGAACGCUUCUUUCCUCCCGAGUGCUUGCACUCGAUUGGAAAGAGGAGUGGCGGACGGGUGAGUAACACGUGGGUAACCUACCCAUCAGAGGGGGAUAACACUUGGAAACAGGUGCUAAUACCGCAUAACAGUUUAUGCCGCAUGGCAUAAGAGUGAAAGGCGCUUUCGGGUGUCGCUGAUGGAUGGACCCGCGGUGCAUUAGCUAGUUGGUGAGGUAACGGUUCACCAAGGCCACGAUGCAUAGCCGACCUGAGAGGGUGAUCGGCCACACUGGGACUGAGACACGGCCCAGACUCCUACGGGAGGCAGCAGUAGGGAAUCUUCGGCAAUGGACGAAAGUCUGACCGAGCAACGCCGCGUGAGUGAAGAAGGUUUUCGGAUCGUAAAACUCUGUUGUUAGAGAAGAACAAGGACGUUAGUAACUGGACGUCCCCUGACGGUAUCUAACCAGAAAGCCACGGCUAACUACGUGCCAGCCGCCGCCGUAA